RNAcentral lists this long non-coding RNA (2913 nucleotides) under Bos grunniens (domestic yak). RNAcentral's name for it is "lncRNA (ENSBGRG00000016924.1)". The record is from RNAcentral. Lineage: Eukaryota; Metazoa; Chordata; Mammalia; Artiodactyla; Bovidae.
AUGGGGAGUGUCCUGCGAGGUCUGGAGGUCACCGAGGCGGGCGAGGAGGACGCUGAGGGAGGGAUGCGAGAACUCAACGCACCGGCAGGGGGAGCCCGAGUAAGCAGGAAGCAAGGGCCUGGGAGUGGGCGGCCGGCGGUAGGCCGACCGAGGUUACCCGCGGGCGACCGUCGUGACGCAGUCCCCGGCCCGGAUCUGGAGAAGAGAAGAGCCGGUAGGAGUAGGCCAGCCCCUCUGAGAGGAUGGUCCCUCGGGAGAGUCCACUUCCUCCAUCCUCCCAACUUGGGGGUGGGACUGAGGAAGGGAGAAGGAAGCCAACAUGACCUAAUUUUAUCCCCUCAAGGACACUGCAAGGUCAGCAUUGACCCCAUUUUACGGAUGAGACAACUGAGACUCCGAGAGGUGGACACACUCCAGUAAACCUGCAGCUCAGAGUCGCUUUCCAGGACUGCAGUCUGCAGUUCUCGUCACAGUCAGAGCCCAACCUUGGCACUCACUGAGAUCCAGUCCAGGUCACCAACUGGACUCAAUACUGCUUACGGGCAGAGCCUACGUUCAGCUCCGGUGCGUGCUCUGAUCCUAGUCCCAGACUGAGCCCCGGUGUCAGCCACAGGCUGAGCCCUGACUCUAAGCACAGACUGAGUCCCAGACUGAGGCCUGAGCCUGGCCGCAGGCUGAGCCCAAGUAGCUCAUGGAAGUCAGAGGACACUUAAGACAGAACUAAGGGAGAGUAAGUGGAAGGGACGGGAGUCUGACUGAGACCAAGGGUAGGAGCAGAGUAAACCUCACUGGAGGAGGCUGGCUGACGACCCCAUCAGCCAUGCCCGCAGAGUCGCAGAAUCUCACCUCUCAGGGAGGUGUUUUCAAAAACGACUAACUGGGACCUACUUCUUCUUUUCACUAUUUGUUUUCUUGGCUGGAUCCUGAGGCGGCUGAGUUGCGGCACUCAGGAUCUUCGAUCUUCAUUGCAGCAUGUGCGAUUUUUAGUUGUGGCGUGCGGGAUCUAGUUCUCUGACCAGGGAUCGAACCCGGGACGCCUGCAUUGGGAACACGGAGUCUUAGCCACUGGACCACCAGAGAGCUUCUUUAUGGAACAUCAAUACGAACUGGAAACGAGAAGCAUCAUCGUAGCUGCCGUUUCUCAAGCAGGGAGGGUCCUGGGCUCCACGGAAUGACCCUACUGUCUCCUCAGAGCCGCCCUGGGGGCCUCUCUUGUCACCCAUUUGGCAGAGGAGGAAGCCUCACCCAUGGCAGAACCAUUCAGACCCUGGACCGGUCUGUGCCUCUGUGGUAUCUAGGCUCAAGCAGAGGCUGGUCUCCCAAAGAAACGCCACCCAGGGGCUUCCCCGCCCCCACCGUGGGUCACCUGAACCAGCUGCUGACCAAGUCCCCACGCCUGCAGGGCAGCAAGGGAGUGAGGAACAGGGGUGGGUGGUCCUUGAGUAAGUAACUGCAGUCAGCCCCUGCUUCAGGCAGCACACUGCUCCUCUCAGGGCCCUCCAAUUCAUAUGCUCUGAUUCCCACACCAUCUCCUUGAGGUUGGCACUAUGGUGGUGGGCACGGCACAGGUGAGGAAACAGCCCGGGCAGGGGACAAAGCUUGCCCAGACCUGCAGAGCUGGGAUUCACCUUGAGAGUUCCUGACACUUGUUCUCCUGUCCUCUCUUCAUCUGAAUGGAAGAGUGAAGGCCGUAGCUAACAGAAUGUUUGGAUCCCCCAAAAUUGAUGUGCUGAAACCUAACCCCCCAGUGUGAGGGUAUUUAGAGGUGGGGCCUUUGGGAGGUGAUGAGGUCUUCCAGCGUGAAGCCCUCAAGAAUGGGAUACUGCCCUUUAAAAGAGGCCCCCGGGAGAUCUCUCCCUUGUCUCUUCUACCUUGUAUUGUGGUUCAGUGUCCGACUCUCUCUGACCCCAUGGACUGCAGCACACCAGGCUUCCCUGUCCUUCACCAUCUCCCGGAGGGUGCUCAAGCUCAUGUCCGUUGUGUUGAUGAUACCAUCCACCUUGUGAGGUUAUACCCAAAAGAUGGCCGAACCAGGAAGUGGGCUCUUACCAGACACUGAAUCUGGCAGCACCUUGAUCCUGGACUUUUCAACCUCCGGAACUGUGAGAAAAAGGUCUUUUGUUCAAAGCCACCCCACCCCCUCCACCAGCCUGCGAUAUUCUGUUAUAGCAGCAUGAAUUGGACUAAGUGGCUAAGGCAGCCACUUUCCCUAUCUGCGCACACUGUUGAUCCUUCCAUCUGUCUAUCCACUCAUCCAUCCACGCAUCCAUGUACCCACCUAACCAUCUAUGCAUCCAUCUAUCCAUCCACAGCUGUGCAGUGAGUAUCCUCUACGUACCAGGUGUGGCCUGGGUACUGGGACGGGGGGCAGGGCCCACCCUAUGUGGCAUGUACAGGCUGGCAAAGGAGCCAUGUAUUGAAAACACAUCCACCAAAACAAAUGCAUCACCAUUGUGCUUAGCGCUGGGAAGAAGCAAUCCAGGAUGCUGUGAGUGGGUGUAACAGGACCAUCUCUCUAGGGAGUGUUCUCUGGGCCUUGGGAGCUGGUGGGCGGGAGACGCUGAGAUGGCCCUACGGGCUUAGCCUCAGGGCACAGGAGCUCAAUAACGCCCCAACCGCCAGCUAGUUUGGUGAGGCUGCGGCCAGCCCAACUGGCCCCUCCAGUAGGUGGGCUCCUGGAGGCGUGGCUGCAGCAGGAAGUAAGUCUGGAGGUGAAUGGAGGGUGUGGGUCUUCCCCCAGAUUUGCUUUGCAAGCCAUGCUACAUGGGGCCGGAAGCCGCGAAGAACUGCAAUCAGAGCUCUAGGAGACAGGAGAGAGGAUAUUUCAGGAGGGAGGAACUGCAUGAACAUCCGAGUGGAGGUGAGAGACAGUAGGUGGACCCAGGGUGGGGGAGCAAGAGGAGGAAAGGGAAG